RNAcentral lists this ribosomal RNA (288 nucleotides) under uncultured bacterium. Its description in RNAcentral is "partial 16S ribosomal RNA". It matches the Rfam family "Bacterial small subunit ribosomal RNA", at positions 773 to 1060 of the family's 1533-position model. The record is from RNAcentral.
GUGGAUUAGAUACCCUGGUAGUCCACACCGUAAACGUUGGGCGCUAGGUGUGGGAUCCAUUCCACGGGUUCCGUGCCGUAGCUAACGCAUUAAGCGCCCCGCCUGGGGAGUACGGCCGCAAGGCUAAAACUCAAAGGAAUUGACGGGGGCCCGCACAAGCGGCGGAGCAUGCGGAUUAAUUCGAUGCAACGCGAAGAACCUUACCUGGGUUUGACAUACACGGGAAGCCUGCAGAGAUGUGGGUCUCUUUGAUACUCGUGUACAGGUGGUGCACGGCCGUCGCCAGCU